This 355-nucleotide ribosomal RNA is filed under the name uncultured bacterium. RNAcentral describes it as "bacterial SSU rRNA". It matches the Rfam family "Bacterial small subunit ribosomal RNA", at positions 917 to 1271 of the family's 1533-position model. The record is from RNAcentral.
GGGCCCGCACAAGCGGUGGAUUAUGUGGUUUAAUUCGAAGCAACGCGCAGAACCUUACCUAGGCUUGAAAUCCUCAGAAUUCCGAGUAAUGUUGGAAGUGCCCGCAAGGGAAUUGAGUGACAGGUGCUGCAUGGCUGUCGUCAGCUCGUGUUGUGAAAUGUUGGGUUAAGUCUCGCAACGAGCGCAACCCCUAUCUUUAGUUGCCAGCAUUAAGUUGGGCACUCUAGAGAGACUGCCCGGGUUAACCGGGAGGAAGGUGGGGAUGACGUCAAGUCCUCAUGGCCCUUAUGCCUAGGGCUACACACGUAAUACAAUGGCACAAACAAAGGGAAGCGAGCACGCGAGUGUUAGCAAA